Molecule: non-coding RNA, 527 nt
Organism: Pelobates cultripes (western spadefoot toad)
Lineage: Eukaryota; Metazoa; Chordata; Amphibia; Anura; Pelobatidae
Source: the annotation of a GenBank genome assembly
CAAUAAAAUAAAAUACAUAAGUAUUGUAUGGUAUAUGGAUGCUAUGGUCGUGGAGUGUGCGGAAUAGUCCAAAACGCGUUUCGCCCUUCUAAUGGGGCUUCCUCAGUUGGUUUUAGUCACUUGCUGUGUCUGCUCUGUUUUAAAUGUGCCGAUUUUACUCUAAUUCCGGUUUGGAGGUUGCGGUACGUCACUGCCGGUAUUUCUCCGCAGUGGAACACGUGCGUUCCAGACGUCCCAUAGGUGUAAUUCUGACGUCUGGAAACUUUGUUACUCGAAAUUGUCUGCUCAUAUUAAGGGGAAUAGGGAUGUGAUUGUAUAUAUUCCUGUUGCUACAAUUUGGCAUAUAUAUAGCUAAGAAACAGAAGUGCAACUGCAUAUCUAUGUUGUGUAUUCCUGUUAUUGCUAAUUAGCAUGUAUGUAGCUGACAUAUAUAGCUUGUUAGAAGAAACAGGGGUGCAAUUGCAUAUAUGUGUUGUAUAUUCCUGUCUUUUACACUUUAGCAUAAAUAGCAGAAACAGAAAUAUGCA